GGCAUAUCGCUUGCUUGGUGCCUGGCAGCCUCGGCGGUCCCAACGGCGGGACCCCACUCUCCGACAAUGGCGUCGC
Pseudomonadales bacterium GWC1_66_9 is the source of this 76-nucleotide non-coding RNA. Lineage: Bacteria; Pseudomonadati; Pseudomonadota; Gammaproteobacteria; Pseudomonadales. The record is from Rfam.